Small nuclear RNA from Dermacentor silvarum, 185 nucleotides. RefSeq annotates it as U2 spliceosomal RNA. The record is from RefSeq and is a predicted model, not a curated record. The transcript has a single exon. Lineage: Eukaryota; Metazoa; Arthropoda; Arachnida; Ixodida; Ixodidae.
ACACGGCCGACGCGGGUCAAAGUGUAGUAUCUGUUCUUAUCAGCUUAAUAUCUGAUAGGGGUUGUAUUUGGACCCAAGAUAUUAAAUUUAUUUUCGCAAGAUGGCGGAGUGCUUGAAGCCUGCUUCACCUCCGCCGCGGUUCGGAUACGUAUUGCACUAUCUUCGGGAGUUUUGGUCUAUGGACA